This is a long non-coding RNA of Pogonomyrmex barbatus (red harvester ant), 1539 nucleotides long. Lineage: Eukaryota; Metazoa; Arthropoda; Insecta; Hymenoptera; Formicidae. The record is from RefSeq and is a predicted model, not a curated record.
CUCCAUACACGGACUGUUUUCCGGCCAUACGGCCUUCAAGGUCUCCCAGGCGACGUUGACCGUUGCUCCGAAGGAAGACGCGAUCUCGCGCGCAGACUAGAGACAUACAGUGACUGAGGAAGUGAAGAAUAGUAUUUCCUAGCGAGGCGAUUGGGGCAUCAGGCAUUACUUCGGCUGUCGAGGUUGUAAAUCGUGCAUCGGUACAAAUAAUAAGACAAUAAAGUAAUAAGUAAAGAAGGUAGAUUGUAUUACUGAAGGAUAUGUAGAUUGCGACGUGUAAGAGGGAUACAUUGUGGAUGUACAUCGAGCGGGCUUCAUCCACGUUAUAUAGGAUGACGGUACGGAACGUCUUAGUGUCCUUAAUGUCUUAGAUUAGUUUGUAUCGAUGUUAUCAAUGGGACAAUCGUGCUUACCAAACGGCGAAUCUGGUGCCCGCUCUGGACGUUCCUCCUGGGAGAUCCCUGCUUCUUUAUUCCCAAUCGAAUUUCGCGCAACGAUAUCAGAAAUGACUAAACUAAAAACGGCCGCGACCCCGGUCGAAAGCGAGGCUUCAUGUAGAAGUGAGAGGGAAGAAAAGGGCGAAAAGGAAACGAGAUGAAAUGCGCGUUACCUAACUACUCGGAUUAUGGAGCCGCAUGAUGACGACGAUGCUGACGUUCAUCUACGAUUUACACCGCGACUUGCGACGCCAAAAUCGCGGCGAACCUCUCGGUCCACGGCAUCGACCAGCAGCGGGAACACGGCGGCGUUUAAGGGAUCGGGAGAUCACGGGGGUAAUAUGGCCAGUCGCCCCCGAAUGCGCAGGAUUCGAUCGAUGCUCCAGACGAGAGAGGGAGACGUACCAUCAUCUCGCGCGUGCCUCUCAUAUGAUGCUGUCAUCCGCGCACCCUCUUCUCCUGGAAAUGAGGGUGGGAUAAAACCCGCGCCCUUUAAGCUUCAUAAGUACAGACUAUCAUCUCGCAAAACUGAUCGAAAGGCAUCUUCGUAGCAUCUUCGCUUCCUUUUAUAAAAUAACAAAGAGAUCGCGCAGUUCUCGAAGCCUGAUAUAAGAAGAUAUCGAAAUUUGAGAGUUGGAGAGGUACAGGAGCUGGAGAGAUACGGGCAUAGUCGUCUUCAAAGGAACGCUCUGAUCACUUUAUUCGUCAUAUCAUUAUCAAUCACACAAUUUUGUUGCAUCAAAUAGAAAUAAAUUAGAUGUGGCGCUCUUAGUUAAAUUUUUGAGAUGAGAGUUACAGUUGGUGCGUAAUAUCCCGGAGAAAAAUCUUCUGUAACACUGUGAUUUAAAAUUUAAGAUUAAUAUAUUGAUUUAAGAUUAAUAUAUUGUUCCAAUCAGUCGUGAUGAGCAUUUCUACUUGGGGAAUUUUAUUUAUUUUACAGUAAAUCGUGAUAAAAAAGACGAAUUACUAUAAAGUGAUAAAUUCCAUGUUUUUAUAAAAAAUUAAUCGGAAUUCCUAUUUUUUAAACUACAAAAAAAAAGUGUACAUUUUGCUUGGAAAUGAUGUAAUCUGGAUAUUUUAAUAAAUAAAGAAAUCAACUUAU